UCCUGGUUAGCUCAGUUGGUAAAGCGCUCCACUGGAAAUGGAGAGGUUCUUGGUUCGGUACCAGGACCAGGCG
Ixodes scapularis (black-legged tick) is the source of this 73-nucleotide non-coding RNA. The record is from Rfam. Lineage: Eukaryota; Metazoa; Arthropoda; Arachnida; Ixodida; Ixodidae.